RNAcentral lists this ribosomal RNA (563 nucleotides) under uncultured bacterium. Its description in RNAcentral is "bacterial SSU rRNA". It matches the Rfam family "Bacterial small subunit ribosomal RNA", at positions 338 to 916 of the family's 1533-position model. The record is from RNAcentral.
CCUACGGGAGGCAGCAGUGGGGAAUCUUGCGCAAUGGGCGAAAGCCUGACGCAGCAACGCCGCGUGCGGGAAGAAGGCUUUCGGGCUGUAAACCGCUUUCAGCAGGAACGAAAAUGACGGUACCUGCAGAAGAAGGAGCGGCCAACUAUGUGCCAGCAGCCGCGGUGAUACAUAGGCUUCAAGCGUUGUCCGGAUUUAUUGGGCGUAAAGAGUUCGUAGGCGGUUUUUCGCGUCGGAUGUGAAAACUCAGGGCUCAACCCUGAGCCUGCAUUCGAUACGGGAAGACUCGAGGACGGCAGGGGAGACUGGAACUUCUGGUGUAGCGGUGGAAUGCGCAGAUAUCAGAAAGAACACCAAUGGCGAAGGCAGGUCUCUGGGCCGAUCCUGACGCUGAGGAACGAAAGCGUGGGGAGCAAACAGGAUUAGAUACCCUGGUAGUCCACGCCGUAAACUAUGGACGCUAGGUGUGGGGGACAUUCCACGUUCUCUGCGCCGCAGCUAACGCAUUAAGCGUCCCGCCUGGGGAGUACGACCGCAAGGUUAAAACUCAAAGGAAUUGACGG